UGGGGAAUAUUGGACAAUGGGGGCAACCCUGAUCCAGCCAUGCCGCGUGUGUGAAGAAGGCCUUCGGGUUGUAAAGCACUUUCAGUGGUGAGGAAAGGGUAAUCGUUAAUAGCGGUUACAGUUGACGUUAGCCACAGAAGAAGCACCGGCUAACUCCGUGCCAGCAGCCGCGGUAAUACGGAGGGUGCAAGCGUUAAUCGGAAUUACUGGGCGUAAAGCGUACGUAGGCGGUGUGUUAAGCAAGAUGUGAAAGCCCCGGGCUCAACCUGGGAAUGGCAUUUUGAACUGGCACGCUAGAGUCCUGAAGAGGGUGGUAGAAUUUCCAGUGUAGCGGUGAAAUGCGUAGAUAUUGGAAGGAAUACCGGUGGCGAAGGCGGCCACCUGGUCAGAGACUGACGCUGAGGUACGAAAGCGUGGGGAGCAAACAGGAUUAGAUACCCCGGGUAGUC
Molecule: ribosomal RNA, 449 nt
Filed under: uncultured bacterium
Lineage: Bacteria
Description: bacterial SSU rRNA
Rfam family: Bacterial small subunit ribosomal RNA
Source: RNAcentral